Molecule: long non-coding RNA, 379 nt
Filed under: Chrysemys picta bellii (western painted turtle)
Lineage: Eukaryota; Metazoa; Chordata; Testudines; Emydidae
Description: lncRNA (ENSCPBG00000017242.1)
Source: RNAcentral
AGGGUCCCUGCCCCGCUGUGGCUCAUCCCACCUCUCUGCCCAUGCAGGACAUCGUGGGUUCCCACCCUCCCAACCACGUCCUGGCAGCCCUGGAGCACCUGGCCCUGGAGAACACCCUGCAGAUGCAAGAGCUCACCAGCCGCAUUGACAUUCCCCGCGACGUAGAGGCGCUCAAGAAGGCUGGAGCAGGUGUGAGGAGCUGUGGGUGCAACGGCUCCCCCUACAGGCCCGGGAGCAGCGCGGCACGGCCCAGCUGGCCUCCCUCCUGCAGGAGAUGCACCGGCUGCUGGCGGACGGCUCGGAGCGCGCCAUCCUCGCCAGGUAGCUGCCCCAGCCCCUGGGAGACACCCCACCCCCUGGGCUCACCCCUGCACAGUUG